Molecule: ribosomal RNA, 556 nt
Filed under: uncultured archaeon
Lineage: Archaea
Description: bacterial SSU rRNA
Rfam family: Archaeal small subunit ribosomal RNA
Source: RNAcentral
CUCGAGGCCAGAUCUUUCCGGUUGAUCCCGCCGGACCUGACUGCUAUCGGAUUGAUACUAAGCCAUGCGAGUCUUUGUAGCAAUACAAGGCAGACGGCUCAGUAACACGUAGUCAAUCUACCCUAUGGACGGGGAUAACCUCGGGAAACUGAGAAUAAUACCCGAUAGAUCAUUAUGCCUGGAAUGGUUUAUGGUCGAAAUGAUUUUCGCCGUAGGAUGGGACUGCGGUCUAUCAGCUUGUUGGUGAGGUAAUGGCCCACCAAGGCUAUAACAGAUACGGGCUCUGAGAGGAGAAGCCCGGAGAUGGGUACUGAGACACGGACCCAGGCCCUAUGGGGCGCAGCAGGCGAGAAAACUUUGCAAUGUGCGAAAGCACGACAAGGUUAAUCCGAGUGUUUUCUGCUAAAGAAAUCUUUUGUCAGUCCUAAAAACACUGAUGAAUAAGGGGUGGGCAAGUUCUGGUGUCAGCCGCCGCGGUAAAACCAGCACCUCAAGUGGUCAGGAGGAUUAUUGGGCCUAAAGCAUCCGUAGCCGGCCGUGUAAGUUUUCGGUUAAA